GUUCUGCGGUUUCUGAGCUCCGGUGUGGCCUGUGCGGAAGGGAGCAGGGAGGUGUGUGGGGAGUGGCUCUUACUCUCCAGCAGCUGCAGGAAGCUGGGCUGCCCCUUGCUGUCCUCGCAGGCCCCCGGGGCCCCUGCCGAUUGAGGGUGACCCUUCCUCCAGCAGCACUGGUUGGUUUACCAGCUGCACCAGGAUCUCUGACUCUGCCUGGCGUGAGCUGUGGAGCACAGCGAAGGCUUUUCAGAAACCUCCCACACACAUGGUCUCCUGACUCCACGCUGAACUGGAGAUCUGAUGCCCGUUUGCUGGACGUGCCCACAGGGCGGUCACCACGGCGGGCGGUCAUCGUUGAUUAAGAUAAUUUUUUUAAUGUGUCAUUGCAUGAAUCUCCAUCUCCAUCUCUGGAAAUUGAGUAAAUUCAUAGAAGAAAAGUUGAUUACUGUUUAGAUACUUGUUUUGUCAUUUUGAAUGGGAAAUAUUGAAAACUAAAAUUAAACGUACAUAAAUGCUA
Marmota monax (woodchuck) is the source of this 511-nucleotide long non-coding RNA. RefSeq lists it as uncharacterized. The transcript is spliced from 3 exons. Lineage: Eukaryota; Metazoa; Chordata; Mammalia; Rodentia; Sciuridae. The record is from RefSeq and is a predicted model, not a curated record.